CGCGUAGGUGGUUUGUUAAGUCAGAUGUGAAAGCCCCGGGCUCAACCUGGGAACUGCAUUUGAUACUGGCAGGCUAGAGUAUGGUAGAGGGAAGUGGAAUUCCGGGUGUAGCGGUGAAAUGCGUAGAUAUCCGGAAGAACACCAGUGGCGAAGGCGGCUUCCUGGACCAAUACUGACGCUGAGGUGCGAAAGCGUGGGGAGCAAACA
RNAcentral lists this ribosomal RNA (207 nucleotides) under uncultured bacterium. Its description in RNAcentral is "partial 16S ribosomal RNA". It matches the Rfam family "Bacterial small subunit ribosomal RNA", at positions 568 to 774 of the family's 1533-position model. The record is from RNAcentral.